This 506-nucleotide ribosomal RNA is filed under the name uncultured bacterium. RNAcentral's name for it is "bacterial SSU rRNA". It matches the Rfam family "Bacterial small subunit ribosomal RNA", at positions 1 to 526 of the family's 1533-position model. The record is from RNAcentral.
AUUAGAGUUUGAUCCUGGCUCAGGACGAACGCUGGCGGCGUGCCUAACACAUGCAAGUCGAACGAAGUAUAUUUUCGGAUAUGCUUAGUGGCGGACGGGUGAGUAACGCGUGAACAAUCUGCCCUGUACACAGGAAUAGCCUCGGGAAACUGGGAUUAAAACCGGAUAACACUUUCUGGCCGCAUGGCCGGGAAGUCAAAUUGAUUUAGAGGUACAGGAUGAGUUCGCGUCUGAUUAGCUAGUUGGUGAGGUAACGGCUCACCAAGGCGACGAUCAGUAGCCGGCCUGAGAGGGUGAACGGCCACACUGGAACUGAGACACGGUCCAGACUCCUACGGGAGGCAGCAGUGGGGAAUAUUGCACAAUGGAGGAAACUCUGAUGCAGCGACGCCGCGUGAGUGAAGAAGGUCUUCGGAUCGUAAAACUCUGUCCUUGGUGACGAAAAAAAUGACGGUAGCCAAGGAGGAAGCCCCGGCUAACUACGUGCCAGCAGCCGCGGUAAUAAU